RNAcentral lists this small RNA (542 nucleotides) under Lodderomyces parapsilosis. RNAcentral's name for it is "eukaryotic LSU rRNA". The stretch from base 199 to 352 matches the Rfam family "5.8S ribosomal RNA". The record is from RNAcentral. Lineage: Eukaryota; Fungi; Ascomycota; Pichiomycetes; Serinales; Debaryomycetaceae.
UAAAGUCGUAACAAGGUUUCCGUAGGUGAACCUGCGGAAGGAUCAUUACAGAAUGAAAAGUGCUUAACUGCAUUUUUUCUUACACAUGUGUUUUUCUUUUUUUGAAAACUUUGCUUUGGUAGGCCUUCUAUAUGGGGCCUGCCAGAGAUUAAACUCAACCAAAUUUUAUUUAAUGUCAACCGAUUAUUUAAUAGUCAAAACUUUCAACAACGGAUCUCUUGGUUCUCGCAUCGAUGAAGAACGCAGCGAAAUGCGAUAAGUAAUAUGAAUUGCAGAUAUUCGUGAAUCAUCGAAUCUUUGAACGCACAUUGCGCCCUUUGGUAUUCCAAAGGGCAUGCCUGUUUGAGCGUCAUUUCUCCCUCAAACCCUCGGGUUUGGUGUUGAGCGAUACGCUGGGUUUGCUUGAAAGAAAGGCGGAGUAUAAACUAAUGGAUAGGUUUUUUCCACUCAUUGGUACAAACUCCAAAACUUCUUCCAANUCCGACCUCAAUCAGGUAGGACUACCCCGCUGAACUUAAGCAUAUCAAUAGCGGGGGGGGAAA